CUCUAUUCCAGCAGCCGCGGUAAUACGUUCCCGGGUCUUGUCCUCACCGCCCGUCACACCACGAGAGUUUACAACACCCGAAGUCGGUGGGAUAACCGCAAGGAGCCAGCCGCCGAAGGUGGGGUAGAUGAUUGGGGUGAAGUCGUAACAAGGUAGCCGUAUCGGAAGGUGCGGCUGGAUCACCUCCUUUCUAUGGAGUCCAUGUUAUCAGCAGGGUAACGGACAAAUCUGCAGCUCAGCUGCAACAAGCACAAUGCAUUCACUCGGGUUCAGUUUUGAAAGGCGCAAGUCUUUCAAGCUUUGUUCCUUGAAAACUGGAUAACGAAACAAACUAGCUGAAACAUCUAAUAAUGCAGCGAUGCUUGCAUCGCACAUUAGUUGUAACAAUAAAGUUAAGCUAAUAAGAGCGCACGGAGGAUACCUAGGCACACAGAGA
Molecule: unclassified non-coding RNA, 436 nt
Filed under: uncultured organism
Description: partial contains 16S-23S ribosomal RNA intergenic spacer and 23S ribosomal RNA
Rfam family: Bacterial small subunit ribosomal RNA (bases 1-190)
Source: RNAcentral